RNAcentral lists this small RNA (579 nucleotides) under Pongo abelii (Sumatran orangutan). RNAcentral's name for it is "processed transcript". The record is from RNAcentral. Lineage: Eukaryota; Metazoa; Chordata; Mammalia; Primates; Hominidae.
GCACUCGUCGCCCGCCUAGCGUUGCUUCUCAGCGUCCCUUCCCAUCUUGAGCUAAUCCCGGUGGGGAUGAAGUACAAGGACCUGGGGUCAGGGGGCCUCGCCAGAGUGGGCCCUCAGCCCGCCUCCUCAUCGUCUUUUGGGGCCAGGGGAUCCAGGGAAUGUUCCAGAAGGAACAGCAGUGGGGGCAGUAAGCACAUUCCCGCAACCCCACCUCGGUUGCCCAUGGAGACCUCAGGCUGAGUAGCAUCUGCAGCCUUUGUCCUUGGGCUAGUGACAGUGACUGGAAUGCAUCCUGUCGGGCAUCAUGUCUGUGAACGGGAAGAAGGUGCUGCACAUGGACCGGAACCCCUACUACGGGGGCGAGAGCUCCUCCAUCACACCCCUAGAGGAGCUGUAUAAGCGUUUUCAGUUGCUGGAGGGGCCCCCUGAGUCGAUGGGCCGAGGCCGAGACUGGAACGUUGACCUGAUUCCCAAAUUCCUCAUGGCUAACGGACAGCUGGUAAAGAUGCUACUGUAUACAGAGGUGACUCGCUACCUGGACUUCAAGGUGGUGGAGGGCAGCUUUGUCUACAAGGGGGG